RNAcentral lists this ribosomal RNA (566 nucleotides) under uncultured archaeon. RNAcentral's name for it is "bacterial SSU rRNA". It matches the Rfam family "Archaeal small subunit ribosomal RNA", at positions 258 to 824 of the family's 1478-position model. The record is from RNAcentral.
CUACGACGGGUACGGGUUGUGAGAGCAAGAGCCCGGAGAUGGAUUCUGAGACACGAAUCCAGGCCCUACGGGGUGCAGCAGGCGCGAAAACUUUACAAUGCCGGCAACGGCGAUAAGGGGACCUCGAGUGCCAGGUUACAAAUCUGGCUGUCGUGAUGCCUAAAAAGCAUUGCAUAGCAAGGGCCGGGCAAGACCGGUGCCAGCCGCCGCGGUAACACCGGCGGCUCGAGUGGUAACCGUUAUUAUUGGGUCUAAAGGGUCUGUAGCCGGCCGGAUAAGUCUCUUGAGAAAUCUGGCAGCUUAACUGUCAGGCUUUCAGGAGAUACUGUCUGGCUCGAGGCCGGGAGAGGUGAGAGGUACUUCAGGGGUAGGGGUGAAAUCUUGUAAUCCUUGAAGGACCACCAGUGGCGAAGGCGUCUCACCAGAACGGACCUGACGGCAAGGGACGAAAGCUAGGGGCACGAACCGGAUUAGAUACCCGGGUAGUCCUAGCCGUAAACGAUACUCGCUAGGUGUCGGCCACGGUGCGACCGUUGUCGGUGCCGUAGGGAAGCCGUGAAGCGAGC